CUUGACAUACACCGGAAAGCAUCAGAGAUGGUGCCCCCCCUUGUGGUCGGUGUACAGGUGGUGCAUGGCUGUCGUCAGCUCGUGUCGUGAGAUGUUGGGUUAAGUCCCGCAACGAGCGCAACCCUUGUCCCGUGUUGCCAGCAACUCUUCGGAGGUUGGGGACUCACGGGAGACCGCCGGGGUCAACUCGGAGGAAGGUGGGGACGACGUCAAGUCAUCAUGCCCCUUAUGUCUUGGGCUGCACACGUGCUACAAUGGCCGGUACAAUGAGCUGCGAUACCGCAAGGUGGAGCGAAUCUCAAAAAGCCGGUCUCAGUUCGGAUUGGGGUCUGCAACUCGACCCCAUGAAGUCGGAGUCGCUAGUAAUCGCAGAUCAGCAUUGCUGCGGUGAAUACGUUCCCGGGCCUUGUACACACCGCCCGUCACGUCACGAAAGUCGGUAACACCCGAAGCCGGUGGCCCAACCCCUUGUGGGAGGGAGCUGUCGAAGGUGGGACUGGCGAUUGGGACGAAGUCGUAACAAGGUAGGCGUAGAUGA
RNAcentral lists this ribosomal RNA (538 nucleotides) under uncultured bacterium. RNAcentral's name for it is "bacterial SSU rRNA". It matches the Rfam family "Bacterial small subunit ribosomal RNA", at positions 980 to 1509 of the family's 1533-position model. The record is from RNAcentral.